CUUGGAAAGCUCCUAAUAAAGAUGUAAAGUUUUCAUGAGCGCAGAGGAAUGGGCCUCAUAUGAGAAAUUCAGAUUUCAACCGAGUCUAAAAAAAUUUACUAGUUCUAUCAGAAUUAAAAAUAAAACAUCACACCGCUGAUAUAGGCCUCCCUAUCCCAGAAUAACUUCAUUUAACAUUUUUAAGCUGUUUCUUCUAAUACAUAUUUUUAUCUUUUUCAGGGAUUUUCUGGUAUUUAAUAGUAUUCCAAGCCUUGGAUAGCAUCUGUUGACUUACAGGAUGAAGAUUUAGAUUUCACACUGUAUCGCUGGUUUGAGUACCUUGUUAAAAGCUGUGAUAAGGAAUCUAACCCACCCAGUUUGUAGAAUUUCAGGUAUAAGUUGAGACACUAUCUAAUUCUAUGCACUCAUACAUAUUGUGACCUAAUUUUCUCAGCCACCCAAAUGCACAUCCAUUAUCCAUUGUUCUUGAAGGUAUUUAUUUCUCUUUAUUUCCAUAGUGUCUCAGUUACUUACCACCUGAGUAAUUCACUUUUUAACUUGUUUUAGUUUUAUUUAGCUCUCACUGAUUGUUUUUACAGCAUUUUUAUAAUUUGUUACAAGGGUUUGAGCAUUUAUAUAAAGGUUGUAAGCUGUGUUCAGAAAAGAGGAGUUUAUUAUGUCUUUUCCCCUUCCUAGGUGCUUCAGGAUACUGCCUAAGAUUUUCCCACCCUUCUUUAUGAUAGCUCAAAUGCCCAUCUGUUUCUUAUGAAAGUUGAGCUUACAGAAAAUCAGAACUCAUCAGAUUAAAACUUCCUCUGAAAAAUAUUCCAGGUUUUUCUGUUCAAGCUGUGCUUCUUAUUUUUGAGAGCUUAAUGGAUACUCAAAUCACAUCUCCCAUUCCUACAUCACUCUUUAAAGGAGUGUCAGUGGUAGCUGUUUCACAGACAGAUCAUCACAUUGCAACACGCUUGGGAUUAGGCAGGUGUUACAUGUAUAUCAUACUUUUUACUUUAUCUUCUUUUUAGUUACUCUCAUUUCACUUUGUGAAGUUGCUAUUUCCAUUUUGCAGGGUAAAACAAAAACAGAGAACAAGAUAUUCACAGAGGUUAACAUUCACCAAAGGUAACAAAGUAAGUUGUUUAGAUCUGAUUCACUCACUACUCUACACUAUUCUGGGAUAUGAAUAUACCAAAACUUUUGUUAUCCCUUUGCUAUUGAUAGUUAAGUGUUUCCAUAUGUUUAUUUUAUAAAUAAUAUUUCAGUGAAUAACUCUGCACACCUGUAAGUGGAAUAACUAAAUUCACUUCACUUCAGCUCACUUCACUAGAUCCUGCUUCAAGUACCAACACAGUCCUACAGGCAGUGAAUGCAAUUUUCUUUCUCCACAUUCUUGCAAAAUUUUAUUAUAAAACUGUAUUAUUUGCUUCCAUUUAAAAUGAAAUAUCUUAAAGUAUAUUUCUCUGAUGUUUUGUGAAUUGAGAAUCUUUUAUAAUUUUACAAGGCAGGUAAUUUUCACUUUUUAGGGUCCUAGCUCAGUGAUGGUGAACCUUGUAGAGCUUUCAAUGAUGACAAACAGCCCGCUGCUGCACAUUACACUUUUGCUCAAUUUUUAGUUUUUCUUUUUUUUUUUCUUAUUAUAGGCUGAAGAUGCUAGAGGGAGGAACACAGCAAUAUCAGAAAUAACUAAGAUAACACGUGACCUUCAGUGUUGUUUUCUUACAAAAGCCACAGACACAUCAGUAGGAUGGAUGGCAAAGGCUAUCUGGAAUGGAGGAUUGGAUCUGACCUCAGCUGUUCACUAUGCUGAAAGCCAAGAGAAUCGACAUAGAAUUAACAGUGGAAUGGAAUGCAUCCAUUUUAUCAGGUGUGGCUCAAGGCCUUAAACAAACUAUUACUGCAUGCAAAGAACAGCAGUGAACUAACCUUGAAAUAAUAGCAUGGCGCUCUGUUGGGGAUUUCAGCCCCUCUCUUUAUACUGCUGUCAUCCUUCAAAAUCCUUAAAGCCACCAUAUAAAUUCAAUGAACACCUAUACGAUUUCAUCCCAUUCAGUGAAAACCUAUGAUUUCAAGUGGUUUCUUUUGAGGGGGUGGCUUUGUCAAAUCACAAUUAAAGACCAUGAGGUACUUGUAAGAGAGUCUACCACUGCUACAAAUAUGUUCAUCUUUCUAGGCUACAAAGAAAAAUGAGGCAUUGCACUGUUCAGCACUGAUGAAGGCUACCACUGAUGUACGUUGCAAGCAGAACUAAAAAACAGACUCCACUCUGGCAACUCAUAAUGAAAUUUAGAUGUUCAGAAUUUCAAUCAGUGGUAGCAUUGACAGAAAUCUGACUGGGACAUGGCUAAGGGUUUCUGACUUUGGCUCAGCCAACUGCCUUUUAAAGGUUUGAACUAUAGGAGGGCCCACUGUCUUAGUUUGACUUUUCCAUUUAAGUUAGGAAAUCUGAGAGAUUCAGCAUCACAACUGUUCAUUUGAUUAGUCAGUACACAGAAUAAUAAUAUACUGUGACUCUAAAUUGGAGAACUUUGGAACUGGAAGGGACACUGUUGAGGUAUGUCAUACUUAUAUUUUACUGGUGGAGAAAAGAAGCCCUGGGGGGAGGGCAGUAAUUCAGAGCUCCAAUGUGAGACCAUGUCCUGUAGUGCUUGCAAAUCUAGCUUGUCAUAUACCAAGGAGUCCACUUUAGUUCAUUCAGGUUGCCAUAUUAACAAAAUACUACAAACAAGGCAGCUUACAAACAAUAAAUAUUUAUUUUUUAUACUUCUGAAGGCUGUGAAAUGCAAGAUCAAGAUGCCAGCAGAUUCGGUGUUAGGGGAGGAUCUGUUCUUGAUACAUUUGCCUUCUUUCUGUGGCCUCACAUGUUGGAAUGGACAAGGCAGUUCUCUGGAUUCUCCUUUAUUAGGGCACUAGUCCUCUUCCCUCUUUAAAAUGGGAAUUGGAUGAUACAAUUUUUGACAGACCAGUAUGAUAGCAGUAAAAUCAAGAUGCUGCCUGUGUGCACCCCAGGGACAGCAUGAUUGCUGCCUCACAAGCAGUCACUUACAGGGUAGAAAAGAACUAAUGGAUGUACAGUGUGGGCCCACAGCAUCUGCUUAGGAGCAGGAAUAAAUAAAGCAUUAAGUCAGAAGCAUUUAUUUCCACCUUCAUCUUCUUGUUAUAAGAGAAGGGAAAGAUCUUGGAAUACAUUGUACCUACAUCUAAAUGAGCUCAGCCUAUUUCUAUUAGAGGUCAGCCUAGGUUUCAAAGUCAGAGCAAAAGAAUCUGGAUACACAGGAUUUGGAAGAUAUGGGAUAGGCCACUGUGUGGCAGAGGCAUGUGAUAGACUGUCAUAGGUCCAAUUUCCAUCCCUGGCUCUACUACAGAUGAGCUGGUGGCUUUCUGCAGUCCACUUUAUCUAGGCCUUUCAAUUAUGAAUGAGCAAUGAAGGGCCAGAACACCUCUGUUGGUCUUAACAACUGACAUUCUGACACUCAGUUUUUUUUUUUUCCUGACCAUUUCAGGAAGUGGGUUCCUUUUAACAGUUUUCUGCUGCCUUCUCAGCAUCAUGCUCAUAGGGUGAGAACAAGCAAUUUUAAAUGGGUGUGUCAGAAGGUCUUGGCUAUUAUAAAACAACAGCUAAUAUGCUUUAUAAUGCCAAUGAACACCAGAAGACACUAAGCACAGCUUAUGAUGAUGCUCCCUAAAAUUUCUUAUGCUAUGAGAGAUCACAUCUCACUGACAUAUUGUUUAGAUAUUCGGAAUAAUCUCCUGGAGAUGACCUUGACUUGGUAUCCAAGUGAGUAACUGGUGCCACGAGCAGAAAGAACCCGAUCUUAUGGUGAUUGGGUCAGCACAGACCCUGGGUCCUAUGGUCAGGGUUCCAAUCACAUUGUGGUACAUGUCUGAAGAACAUGUAUCACUGUAGUCCUUGAUGUUUUCUGCCCCAAUUUCUGGUGACUGGGAUCUAGAAUGUCCCCUGGAAGACUUGGGUGCCAGUUGAUAGACUUUUAGAAAUUGGUUAUAUCCUAGGGCUGUAAUUUUACCAGUGGCUUAACUCAUUUGAUUCAUAAUUUUAUUGCAUUAUUGGAAAAUGAUGGACUCUUAGGAGAUGAAGCUUAACUGUGCAGCUAGGGGCUUUGAUUUGAAGAUUGUAUUUUGUCCCCAUUUCCUUGUACUCUGGCUUUCUCAUUCUUUCUACUUGCUGAUGGUUAGAGGUGAGCAGCUAUGCCUAUAUUCUCUCUGCCAUGAUGCUCUGCCUCAUAUAGGCCCAGAGACAAUGCAGCCAACCAACCAUGGACUGAAACCUCUGUAAAUCUGAAGAAAUCUUUCUUCUUUUAAGUUAUUAUUCUCAGGUAUUCUGUCACAGCUAACACAUGGUUCUUGUCUGUAAACACAGGUAUGUGAUGUCACAGAAAAAAACAGAACACCAGACAUCCUUCAGAGUGUUACAGGAAGACAUUUCAGACUGUCUGUAGAAGAUGUAUGUGUAGAUCACAGUCAAAAUGUAACUAAUAUUAAGCUUGGCCCAUGCUUCAUCAUGCUGAAUAGAGGAAUUAAAGGCCUACAAAUAGUAGACUGGAGUGGCGGAGAGACUCCAGAUUAUGGCCUGAUGGUUCCACUGGAAGUUUAGGACAUCCCAAACUAGAAAAAAAUGAUGAGAGGUAUUGUGAACAUCCAGCUGUUAGUUUAAAGUAUGAGGCAGCUUGGUCAAGAAUAAAAAUCAAUGUGAAUACAAAUUUAAAUUCUGCCAUUUACUAGGUGCUUGACAAUAUGGAACCUAUUUUUUAUUUAAAACUUUGGCCUGUAUAAACUAUGCUAUUAAUAUUGCUCCUAAAGCUUUGUUGUUAGGAUUAAAUACAAUGAUAUAUGCAAAGUCUCUUGGAUCCUCUCUCAUGGAUGGAUUCUAUGGUACCACGUGGUAUGAUGAACAGUUCUGGGAAGACAGCAGCCUGUUUUGACUGUGGCGUCUUCGAAGAGAUGUGGUUUCUGGCCAGUAUAGUACAGUGUCAAAUAUUAAGUCGGUGCUCUGCGCUGUUUGUUGUGGUUUCCUUCUCAUCACUGGAAUCAGCUGGGUCUCUGGGUUAAUAGUUCUCAAUGACUUUAAAUGAUGAGAAUGUGCUUGAAUAACAUCCAGGAGAUUAGGAGAGGUAACUUCUUUGCAUGUCAUAUAUAAUACAAAUACUACUUUUGACAAAGAUUUUAGACUUGUCUAAUCUUGAUCUGUAAGUGGAUUUUAAACUGGUUUAACCCAAGACAUAUUUUCAUGUCCUACUUAUUCUUUGUCUUAUUAGAAAUCUUACCUGUCCUUUGAACCUGGAAGGUCAAAUAAAUGAGAGGUGGUUGUCCUUUCUGUUUUUCAGUUUUUUCUCAGUUAACUCAUUGUUAAUUAUGUUAUAUUUGCAAUAUACAUUAAAAUGUAAAAUAACAUAGCUGCACACACAGUCUAUUAAGAGAUAUUGGAAGCACAAAAUCUCUUUCAAAGUGGAAGAAAAGCUGUUUGUAGAAAAACCUUUAAGGCAGUACUAAAGAAACUCUAAUUCUGGGUUAAUAAGUAUGCUGUUUUCUUAAUGUAAAA
This is a long non-coding RNA of Chinchilla lanigera (long-tailed chinchilla), 5533 nucleotides long. RefSeq lists it as uncharacterized. The record is from RefSeq and is a predicted model, not a curated record. Lineage: Eukaryota; Metazoa; Chordata; Mammalia; Rodentia; Chinchillidae. The transcript has 4 exons.